CCUACGGGAGGCAGCAGUAGGGAAUCUUCCGCAAUGGACGCAAGUCUGACGGAGCAACGCCGCGUGAGUGAAGAAGGUCUUCGGAUCGUAAAGCUCUGUUGUUAGAGAAGAACAGCGCAUAGAGUAACUGCUAUGCGUGUGACGGUAUCUAACCAGAAAGCCACGGCUAACUACGUGCCAGCAGCCGCGGUAAUACGUAGGUGGCGAGCGUUGUCCGGAUUUAUUGGGCGUAAAGGGAGUGUAGGCGGUCUUUUAAGUCUGAUGUGAAAGCCCACGGCUCAACCGUGGAGGGUCAUUGGAAACUGGGAGACUUGAGUGCAGAAGAGGAGAGCGGAAUUCCAUGUGUAGCGGUGAAAUGCGUAGAUAUAUGGAGGAACACCAGUGGCGAAGGCGGCUCUCUGGUCUGUAACUGACGCUGAGGCUCGAAAGCGUGGGGAGCAAACAGGAUUAGAUACCCUGGUAGUCCACGCCGUAAACGAUGAGUGCUAAGUGUUGGAGGGGUUCCACCCUUCAGUGCUGGAGUUAACGCAAUAAGCACUCCGCCUGGGGAGUACGGCCGCAAGGCUGAAACUCAAAGGAAUUGACGG
This 587-nucleotide ribosomal RNA is filed under the name uncultured bacterium. Its description in RNAcentral is "bacterial SSU rRNA". It matches the Rfam family "Bacterial small subunit ribosomal RNA", at positions 338 to 916 of the family's 1533-position model. The record is from RNAcentral.